Zootermopsis nevadensis is the source of this 319-nucleotide non-coding RNA. The record is from RefSeq and is a predicted model, not a curated record. NCBI's taxonomy places the organism in Eukaryota, Metazoa, Arthropoda, Insecta, Blattodea, Termopsidae.
UGUAUGAAUAUCCUUUUCCUAUAUCCAUCACAAGUCCAAAAUGUGAACAUACUUUUAUUUUUAUUUGGGAUCUGAAUAUUUGUGCAGCAAAUAUUGAGUAUGGAAUGUUACACAUUGCUUCAAAUUUGCAUUUCCUGCCAUAAAUUUACACAGUAGUAAAUUCUGUUCAAAUUAGGUAUGUCAGCUUCAUGAAUUGAAGUAUAUGAAAAUACAUGUUAAAACUGAUGUAUGUAUGUGGGAAGUGAAUGAUCACUUUUCUGCUCUUUGUGCUUCCCCCCACCAAAUCCUGCUUAUGAAACCAAUAUGCUAAAGCUAAAUA